AUUAGGUUAGCUAAUUACAAAAACUGCCAUUUUGAAUUAAAAAUUUAUGAAAAUGAAACAAUUUAUAUCUCUUAAUAAAUGUCCGACAGAGAUUUGUUAUUUGUAAUCGUAUUUAUUGUGGCGAAGGUGGAUUUUGAGAAGGGCGGCGAAAACUCUCCGACGAAAACAAAAACGGCGAAGUGAAAUCGAAGUCGCGUAAAGUAAUUGACUGUGACGGAGAAACGGCGAAAGAGAUGGAGUCUAGUUCAAGUAUUCCAAAGAGUAAUUAUCCUCCACGACUGUAUAGAGAAGGGAAAUCUCCUAUACAGACAAGAAGCAUGCACCACAACUGCACUGUGAGUAGUAUUGCAAUAAUGAAGGAUUUCAUUGGAGAUAGCAUAUGCAGAGA
This is a long non-coding RNA of Arabidopsis lyrata subsp. lyrata, 388 nucleotides long. RefSeq lists it as uncharacterized. The record is from RefSeq and is a predicted model, not a curated record. The transcript has 3 exons. NCBI's taxonomy places the organism in Eukaryota, Viridiplantae, Streptophyta, Magnoliopsida, Brassicales, Brassicaceae.